GUCAGUGGUUUUCCCGCAGUGACAAUGAACUUACCGCAUCCCGUCCGGUCUGCGCAGUCAAACAUUGUAGGGCCGAGUCAGUAGUGCGGUGGGGGACCACGUGUGAAUACUCUGGUGCCCCAGGUA
Melampsora larici-populina 98AG31 is the source of this 126-nucleotide ribosomal RNA. NCBI's taxonomy places the organism in Eukaryota, Fungi, Basidiomycota, Pucciniomycetes, Pucciniales, Melampsoraceae. The record is from Rfam.